AACGAACGCUGGCGGCAUGCUUAACACAUGCAAGUCGAACGGAAAGGCCCUGCUUUUGUGGGGUGCUCGAGUGGCGAACGGGUGAGUAACACGUGAGUAACCUGCCCUUGACUUUGGGAUAACUUCAGGAAACUGGGGCUAAUACCGGAUAGGAGCUCCUGCUGCAUGGUGGGGGUUGGAAAGUUUCGGCGGUUGGGGAUGGACUCGCGGCUUAUCAGCUUGUUGGUGGGGUAGUGGCUUACCAAGGCUUUGACGGGUAGCCGGCCUGAGAGGGUGACCGGCCACAUUGGGACUGGGAUACGGCCCAGACUCCUACGGGAGGCAGCAGUGGGGAAUAUUGCACAAUGGGCGGAAGCCUGAGGCAGCACCGCCGCGUGCGGGAUGACGGCCUUCGGGUUGUAAACCGCUUUCGCCUGUGACGAAGCGUGAAUGACGGUAAUGGGUAAAGAAGCACCGGCUAACUACGUG
RNAcentral lists this ribosomal RNA (468 nucleotides) under uncultured bacterium. Its description in RNAcentral is "partial 16S ribosomal RNA". It matches the Rfam family "Bacterial small subunit ribosomal RNA", at positions 28 to 507 of the family's 1533-position model. The record is from RNAcentral.